GCCGACGUAGCUCAGCGGUAGAGCGGUGCACUCGUAAUGCACAGGUCGUGGGUUCGAAUCCCACCGUCGGCUCCA
This 75-nucleotide transfer RNA is filed under the name Armatimonadetes bacterium GXS. RNAcentral describes it as "tRNA_Thr_CGT". It matches the Rfam family "tRNA". Rfam says of the family: Transfer RNA (tRNA) molecules are approximately 80 nucleotides in length. Lineage: Bacteria; Bacillati; Armatimonadota. RNAcentral also lists the same sequence under 4 other names. The record is from RNAcentral.